This 1186-nucleotide long non-coding RNA is filed under the name Anser brachyrhynchus (Pink-footed goose). RNAcentral describes it as "lncRNA (ENSABRG00000004352.1)". The record is from RNAcentral. Lineage: Eukaryota; Metazoa; Chordata; Aves; Anseriformes; Anatidae.
GGGGUACCACAGGGUAGCUCUAAAUCCUGUCGUGAUUCAGGGAGGAGGAGAUUUGAUUCAUAGGAAAAUGCAAGCGAUGUGUGCCACUGAUUUGGGUCAUCUGUACGCAAUUCAAAAGGAAAAGCACACUCCGGCAUGCCCCCUGGUGUGCCCUCUGCAAUGGGAGGCAGAACAGAGAGCUGGUCAGCCCUGGCCCAUGGUGCGCACCCCUCUGCAAGUUGCUCCUGUUGACACUGACAUGAGUUUUCUGUGUAGCUGACAUGAUGUCCUUCAUGCUUUUGGCAGUGUGCUUGCUCCACUGGACCAUCGCAUCUUUCAUGUAUAGAAAUAUUGCACAUUCAGGUUCAAAUCGAUCUGCCACCCUGAACUGCUGCAGACACAUUCCUGAAUAUGUUAUUUUAGAGUGUUUCCUUUUAAUUUAAGGUAAUGAAUGUACUUUGGUGGAUCCCCAGUGGAGAGAAAAGAAUGUUUCAGGCAUGCACUUCUCUUUGCAAAGAAGGCUUUCUUGACAGCAAGAGACAUAUAGGAAUGCAAGAUAUAUUGAAGAACUCAAAUGAAAUUAAAAUUGUGGAGGAAAGCAGGGUUAAAGAAGCAUUAUGGUAAAAUAAGGCCUUUAUUUCCACUCAUGGAGCUAUUAUGUAGAUAGCGUUUUACUUGCUUUCAUUCUUCUGUGAAUUCAUACAGACACUUUUUAUGUGCUAUCACGUAUCAAAUUGACAAGGUGUAGCUGAUAAUCUCUUUCACUUACUACCAGAUUAAUUUGAGGAAAGAAAAUGGGUCAUUCUGAAAAUAUAGAAGAACUUGAUACAAGGUAUGUUUGUGCCUCUGAGCGGACAAGGUAAAUGAGAUCAUCAGGGAAAUGUGGAUCAAAACACAAGAGAAGACAAAAAGGUUGUGUGAUGAAAGGAUGAAAAACAGGAAAAAGUACGAUAUUGAUUCUUUCUGAAAUGAAGGGCCAAGAAAAUGACCCAGGAGCUGGAAGGGCAUAGCUGCUGUUCUGAAUGAGGUGUCGUCGUGGAUUCUUGUCUUCAUUUUCUCUACGUGACUUAAAUCAGUUCUCCUAGAAAUGUUUUGCAGCCUGAAUGGGAGUACUGUGUAGCCUGACCCUACAGAAACCAAACUAACAUCUGGAUCUGGAGUUCAUGGAUGACUCCUCAGAAAUAAAAUACGUGAAACUGGAAUCCCA